CCUACGGGUGGCUGCAGUGGGGGAUAUUGCACAAUGGGGGAAACCCUGAUGCAGCGACGCCGCGUGAGUGAAGCAGUAUUUCGGUAUGUAAAGCUCUUUCAGCAGGGCAGAAAAUGACAGUACCUGACCAAGUCUCCCCGGCUCACUACGUUCCAGCAGCCGCGGUAAUACGUAGGGUGCAAGCGUUAUCCGGAUUUUCUGGGUGUAAAGGGAGCGUAGACGGUUAUGUAAGUCUGGAGUGAAAGCCCGGGGCCCAACCCCGGGACUGCUUUGGAACCUGUGUCACUGGAGUGCAGGAGGGGCAGGCGGAAGUCAUGGUGUAGCGGUGAAAUGCGGAGAUAUCAGGAGGAACACCGGCGGCGAAGGCGGCCUGCUGGACUGCAACUGACGUUGAGGCUCGAAAGCGUGGGGAGCAAACAGGAUUAGAUACCCUUGUAGUC
RNAcentral lists this ribosomal RNA (440 nucleotides) under uncultured bacterium. RNAcentral describes it as "partial 16S ribosomal RNA". It matches the Rfam family "Bacterial small subunit ribosomal RNA", at positions 338 to 795 of the family's 1533-position model. The record is from RNAcentral.